Molecule: non-coding RNA, 76 nt
Organism: Pelobates cultripes (western spadefoot toad)
Lineage: Eukaryota; Metazoa; Chordata; Amphibia; Anura; Pelobatidae
Source: the annotation of a GenBank genome assembly
UGUGUGUGUGUGUGUGUGUGUGUGUAUGUAUAUAUAUAUAUAUAUAUAUAUACACACACACAUAUACACACACACA